This 253-nucleotide ribosomal RNA is filed under the name uncultured bacterium. RNAcentral's name for it is "partial 16S ribosomal RNA". It matches the Rfam family "Bacterial small subunit ribosomal RNA", at positions 524 to 776 of the family's 1533-position model. The record is from RNAcentral.
UACGGAGGGGGCUAGCGUUGUUCGGAAUUACUGGGUGUAAAGGGUGCGUAGGCGGUCAGUCAAGUCUGAUGUGAAAUCCCUCGGCUCAACUGAGGAAUGGCAUUGGAAACUGGCUGGCUAGAGUACCGGAGAGGGAAGCGGAAUUCCUGGUGUAGCGGUGAAAUGCGUAGAUACCAGGAGGAACACCGGUGGCGAAGGCGGCUUCCUGGCCGAGUACUGACGCUGAGGAGCGAAAGUGUGGGGAGCGAACAGG